Molecule: long non-coding RNA, 711 nt
Organism: Harpia harpyja (harpy eagle)
Lineage: Eukaryota; Metazoa; Chordata; Aves; Accipitriformes; Accipitridae
Exons: 3
Source: RefSeq, a predicted model, not a curated record
AAAAUAGCAGGGUUUGCUGGGUUGUUCCCCACACACACCCCUUCCCUUAAAUAAAGAGAAGGAACUUAACCUGGUCAAAGCUACAACAGUAUUCAUCGCAAGCACUUCUGAGGCAUCCAUUGGCAUGAACAGCAUUCAGAAGAAACUGAUUCCUGCUUCCUAAUACUGAAUGUGACAGCUUCUGCAGACUACAUAGGCUGGAAAAGGAGGAAGAGAAAGCAGGGAGCAACACAAAGGCCAAACAUCCUCAGUAUGCUGCACCAUCUAUGACUUGAAAAGGGAGAAGGGACAUGCUGGAAGUUAAAGGAGAUGAGAAUCUGAGUGGCCACUUGGGAACUUCAUGUGUCAGAAUGACAGAGCACCGGUAUUGGGAAAGAUGGCGAGAGAAGGAAGCACAAUGAAUGUGAGAAAACUAAAGAGGUGUGGAUGCUUAGAGACUGUUUACAUUUCUAGGUUGGGAAAUUCCUGUAAUUUGUUUGCGUUUUUUUCUAUCAUGUUCAGGUUAAACUUGUCCUUUGCACUAAGGCACAAACUACAAAAUGCCUGGGAAGUGUUACUGAUCUCGUUCCUUGCAGACCUCCCCAGUCAAAGCUUGUCCUUUCCAUUGAGGGCAGCUCUUGCACUUUCUGUGCAGGCCUCUCAUGUGACUGGUCUGGGAUGCUUUGAAUCCCCAACUCCUACAUUCCUCAGAUCAAAUUUUCACCUUUUUAA